Molecule: ribosomal RNA, 407 nt
Filed under: uncultured bacterium
Lineage: Bacteria
Description: partial 16S ribosomal RNA
Rfam family: Bacterial small subunit ribosomal RNA
Source: RNAcentral
AUUGAACGCUGGCGGCAGGCCUAACACAUGCAAGUCGAGCGGAGCGGCGGACGGGUGAGUAAUGCCUAGGAAUCUGCCUGGUAGUGGGUGAUAACGUCCGGUACCGUUCGCUAAUACCGCAUCCACUCAGCUCAGCCUCGGUCGGUUUAGCUAGUUGGUGGUGUAAAGGCCUAGCAAGGCGACCAUCAGUACCUGGUCUGAGAGGAUGAGCAGGCACACUGGAAAUGAGACACGGUCCAGACUCCUACGGGAGGCAGCAGUGGGGAAUAGUGGACAAUGGGCGAAAGCCUGAUCCAGCCAUGCCGCGGGUGUGAAGAAGGGCUUCGGAUUGUAAAGCACUUUAAGUUGGGAGGCGUUACCAACAGAAUAAGCACCGGCUAACUUCGUGCCAGCAGCCGCGGUAAUAC